RNAcentral lists this ribosomal RNA (218 nucleotides) under uncultured Lactobacillus sp. Its description in RNAcentral is "partial 16S ribosomal RNA". It matches the Rfam family "Bacterial small subunit ribosomal RNA", at positions 144 to 355 of the family's 1533-position model. Lineage: Bacteria; Bacillati; Bacillota; Bacilli; Lactobacillales; Lactobacillaceae. The record is from RNAcentral.
UAACACCUGGAAACAGAUGCUAAUACCGGAUAACAAUAGAUGAUGCCUAUCAACUGUUUAAAAGAUGGUUCUGCUAUCACUCUUGGAUGGACCUGCGGUGCAUUAGCUAGUUGGUAGGGUAACGGCCUACCAAGGCGAUGAUGCAUAGCCGAGUUGAGAGACUGAUCGGCCACAUUGGGACUGAGACACGGCCCAAACUCCUACGGGAGGCAGCAGCC